UACCGUGGUAGUCACUACCCAUAAUCCCAUGCGUUAUGCUGAUCCCACGGAAAUUCCGCCCCGCCCACUUCCGGUACACAUUUCACCGUCCAGGCCAGGGUGGGAACUGCUGCCUUAUCCUCCAGGGUUACACAGUAGUGAAGAAGACAUCCUGUGAGUGUGAGACACCGAGCAGCCAUCCCCGUGUGUCAGGAGGACUGCGCAGGACCCAGAGCCCCAACACGGUGCCUCCACCUCACUCACUGACACAUGAGACACAUUGACCAGAAGAUCCUGGAACUCUCUAACAAGAUCAUUCAGCUGCUGACUGGAGAGGAGGAGGAGUAUAUAGAGGAACACAGGGGUCUGUACAAGGACGUGAUGAUGGAGAAUCACCGGCCCCUCACAUCACUGGGUAAGAG
Pseudophryne corroboree (corroboree frog) is the source of this 401-nucleotide long non-coding RNA. RefSeq lists it as uncharacterized. The record is from RefSeq and is a predicted model, not a curated record. The transcript has 3 exons. Lineage: Eukaryota; Metazoa; Chordata; Amphibia; Anura; Myobatrachidae.